RNAcentral lists this ribosomal RNA (445 nucleotides) under uncultured bacterium. RNAcentral's name for it is "partial 16S ribosomal RNA". It matches the Rfam family "Bacterial small subunit ribosomal RNA", at positions 354 to 796 of the family's 1533-position model. The record is from RNAcentral.
GUAGGGAAUAUUGGUCAAUGGACGAAAGUCUGAACCAGCCAUUCCGCGUGCAGGAAGAAGAUUCUAUGGAUUGUAAACUGCUUUUAGCAGAGAAGAAACGCCUUCAUUGAUGAGGGUUUGACGGUAUCUGCGGAAUAAGCACCGGCUAACUCCGUGCCAGCAGCCGCGGUAAUACGGGGGGUGCAAGCGUUAUCCGGAAUCACUGGGUUUAAAGGGUGCGUAGGCGGGAAAUUAAGUCAGUGGUGAAAGUCUGUUGCUUAACGAUAGAAUUGCCGUUGAUACUGAUUUUAUUGAAGUGGGUUGAGGUUAGCGGAAUGUGACAUGUAGCGGUGAAAUGCAUAGAUAUGUCAUGGAACACCAAUUGCGAAGGCAGCUAGCUGGGCCUUGAUUGACGCUGAGGCACGAAAGCGUGGGUAGCGAACAGGAUUAGAUACCCGGGUAGUCC